UUUCUGUUUCCAAGAUGCCUUUCCAGACUAGAACCCAGACAUGUGAGCCACUGGCCAGACACAACAUCUGGUGCCCACAUGGGACUGAGAAAUGGCAGAGGACAUUUGGAAAAACACUGCUGUUUUGGAGUUCCAUAGAAGAAGAGAAUAAUUAAAGGAAGUUCAUACCAGAGAAGGUUUCCAAGAUGCCUUUCCAGACUAGAACCCAGACAUGUGAGCCACUGGCCAGACACAACAGUGCUGGAGGAGCUGAGAAUUCUUAUUGACCUGAAGGCUGCUAGAAGAAGACCGGCAGCUAGGAGGAGAGUUUCAAAUCCCACCAAUGUUGACACACUUCCUCAAACAAGGCUCCAUCUACUCCAACAAGACCGCAUACCUGCUAAUAUUGCUACUCUCUGGGCCAAAUUUCUUCAAACCACCACAAGGACAUUCAGGAAUUAUGGUUGAUGACUUUGUUGUUUCAAGCCAGCUGAUACUGUAGCCAGAGGACAAACCCUGCAGAAGUUCUCUUAUGGCUAACAGUUACUUUUGGCUCUUAGCUAACCACAUGAAAGUGCUGUGGAGAGAGACGCUGGGGCAGACCAAUACUGAAAAAGGAAUGGAACAACUUCAGAUGAUCUUGUAAGGCUGAAUAGCUGAAAUCAGAGCCUUCUCUGCCUCCCACUUAUGUAGUCGCAGAUCUGAAUGCCACCUUGGAAGACUGGCCACUGUUCAGGACCUUGAAGAUUCAGCCUGGAUCCUCCCAGUGUAGACACCAGAGCACCAGAGGCAUCAGGGCUCGAAUCAACCCUCCCACCCUGGAGAGAUGUCUGAAGCAACUCCUUAGUGGAGUCUCUCUCUUAGUUCAUGGUAGCUGGCAAUUUACCCAGUCGUGAAAAUUCGGCAGAAUCUGGGGCUGUUUCCGAUAAGUCCCCACCCUGCCUUCCAGCUCAGGGAACACUAGAGGGACUCCUUCCUCCUACUAUUCAUUCCCUCUAUCUAUUCAUUCUCUGCACAGGAAUCCACCUUGUGAUUUCAAUACAUUGAGCUGGGAGACACAGGCUCAGUCAGGACUCUACAGGGGACUGAGGGCUGACUGUGGUUCUUGGAGUAUGUUUCCUAUCCGAAGUGCCUGGACUUUUUAAAUUUAAAAAUCCUUUGCAUUUUUAUGGAGAGCAUGGAAAAAAUGGAAGCUCCAAUGCAGAUUCAUAAACCAGAGAUCCUAGCCAGUUUAAGGCGCGGCUCCCCUUUCUUGGGUCUGUGCCCCAGGGGACCUGAAAAAUGCUAGUCCAGCAAAAGCAAGGAGGUCACAGGCUCUUGACUACUUUUCUGUUCCUGUUGGGUUGGACCCAAGCAAACUAGUAAUCAUUAAAGGCCAGUGAUUUGUAAUCAGAUUUGCACUUAAGGGCUACUGGCAAUCUUCAAACCGGUAUUUAUUAGCAAGCCAGAUGUCUUGCAGAUUGUCUCACAACCCUGUUUUCUCUAAUUGUGUUUCUUCUCAUGUAGCUCAGCGUAUCUCAAACACACUAAAAAGCUGACUAGAAGCUGGUGGAUCUCAGAUGCCUGCUUCAAUGCUCCCUGCUUUGCCAGGGCAGCUGGAUUGAUUUUUUUUUAAUUCCAAUAUUUUCCAUUAUUUUUAUCCAUCAGGUUAGUUUGAAUAAUGCCAGCCAUUCUUGAUGGACAUUUCGAGUUAUGAGCUGAUGCUGUAGCUCAGCUAAUUUCUUGCCUAACCCUGGGCUCCAACCUGAACACUGGAUUAAUACACAUGCAUAUAUUUCCAGGACAGAAGAAGUGAAGGCAUGAAGAUCAGGAAUGCAGCUAUCCUUGACUUUGUCAGGACCAGCCUGAGCUAAAUGAGCUAGACCCUGCCUCAAACAGAAAACAAGGUCAAAAUAAACCAAUGACAAAAAACAAACAAAAACAAAAACAAAACAAAAAACAAAAAAAGCCACUUUGAGUACUUACAUAUUUCCAUUUUCAUUUGUUUAGUCUUAUCUUCUAAGUAGCCAAGGUUGACUUCUAAUUCUCACAGUUUGAUCGGCAAAAGAAGAGGACUCGUCCAAGCUUUGAACCCAGGACUUCUCAGACCUUAAGUGAGAAUCAUACCCCUAGACCAACAAGCCUUAAAGAGAAGCUACAGCUAUUCUUUCUAAGAGGGAUAUAGUGGAGUUCUGUGGUUGAAUUCAAUAAACACAGGAAGAAUUGAAUUUCAGAUCUACCUGAAAAGGGUGAUGCAAGACUACCCACUGUCCCACUUUAUCCAGAAUGUCAAAAAUAGAAUAGACUCUGUAACACUUCCACCUACUGUAAUCUAGUACACCCAGUGCUGCUUCAGGCAGAGCAAAAGACCCACAAACUGCUCAAGUGCCUCCAAUUCUGACCUAAUGUCAGAGAUACCGAAUGCAGAACCCCAACAAUGGGGCACUACUUGAAGUGCAAGCAUUGUCUCCAGUUGAGACCCAACUAAAAUAACAUCUCCCCCAACAUGGGGCUCGAACCCACCACCCUGAGAUUAAAAGUCUCAUACUCUACCUACUGAGCUGGCUGGGCAACUGUUCUCUAGCUUAGAAGUUUACUAACUGUGACCUGAAGGUAUUGAACUGGCAAAGUAAAUAAAGCCAUUUCAGAUUGAGGGCAGCUUCUAAAACAAGAAGUUUCACCUCCACACAGCAGACAGACACCCAAGACCCUGAGAUACAUACAUUAAAGCUGAAGUGCCUGCUCAUUCUCCUUCUCCUAUUCCCACCUGAAAGUGGAACCUCUAGUCCCUGCCCCCUGACCACUGGGUAAGCGUCUCCAGAGCCAGACCUUGGCUACCACUUGCUCUGUUCACAUAUCAUAGAAAUGCAAUGCAGACAGGCACAGCCAUGGCUGGCACUGGAGGAGCAUGGUCCAACCUAGGUCCAUACCUGCACCAGGUCUUUGUGCAUCUGAUCAGUAUUUGCUUACUAAACUGUAUGUUUGCCUG
This 2947-nucleotide long non-coding RNA is filed under the name Mus musculus (house mouse). RNAcentral describes it as "predicted gene, 49507". The record is from RNAcentral. Lineage: Eukaryota; Metazoa; Chordata; Mammalia; Rodentia; Muridae.